Molecule: ribosomal RNA, 253 nt
Filed under: uncultured bacterium
Lineage: Bacteria
Description: partial 16S ribosomal RNA
Rfam family: Bacterial small subunit ribosomal RNA
Source: RNAcentral
UACGGGGGGAGCAAGCGUUGUUCGGAUUUACUGGGCGUAAAGGGCGCGUAGGCGGCCGUGCAAGUCGGUUGUGAAAUCUCCGGGCUUAACUCGGAACGGUCAACUGAUACUGCUCGGCUAGAGUGCGGAAGGGGCAACUGGAAUUCUUGGUGUAGCGGUGAAAUGCGUAGAUAUCAAGAGGAACACCUGCGGCGAAGGCGGGUUGCUGGGCCGACACUGACGCUGAGGCGCGAAAGCCAGGGGAGCGAACGGG